Molecule: ribosomal RNA, 266 nt
Filed under: uncultured archaeon
Lineage: Archaea
Description: partial 16S ribosomal RNA
Rfam family: Archaeal small subunit ribosomal RNA
Source: RNAcentral
AGUCACUGACAUUAGAUACCCGCGUAGUCCAGGGUGUAAACGCUGCGGACUUGGUGUUGGGGGCCCUUUGGGGGCAUUCAGUGCCGGAGAGAAGUUGUUAAGUCUGCUACUUGGGGAGUACGUCCGCAAGGAUGAAACUUAAAGGAAUUGGCGGGGGAGGCACCGCAACGGGAGGAGCGUGCGGUUUAAUUGGAUUCAACACCGUAAAACUCACCAGGGAAGACUGUUACAUGAAGGCCGAGAUGAAGACUCUGCUAGAUUUUCAG